RNAcentral lists this ribosomal RNA (254 nucleotides) under uncultured bacterium. RNAcentral's name for it is "partial 16S ribosomal RNA". It matches the Rfam family "Bacterial small subunit ribosomal RNA", at positions 524 to 776 of the family's 1533-position model. The record is from RNAcentral.
UACGUAGGUGGCAAGCGUUGUCCGGAUUUACUGGGCGUAAAGAGCGCGCAGGCGGUCGUUCAAGUCGCGUGUGAAAGCCCCCGGCUCAACUGGGGAGGGUCACGCGAUACUGAUCGACUCGAAGGCAGGAGAGGGAAGUGGAAUUCCCGGUGUAGUGGUGAAAUGCGUAGAUAUCGGGAGGAACACCAGUGGCGAAGGCGACUACCCGGCCUGUUUCUUGACGCUGAGGCGCGAAAGCUAGGGGAGCAAACAGG